This 250-nucleotide unclassified non-coding RNA is filed under the name plant metagenome. Its description in RNAcentral is "partial contains small subunit ribosomal RNA, internal transcribed spacer 1, and 5.8S ribosomal RNA". The record is from RNAcentral.
GUAGGUGAACCUGCGGAAGGAUCAUUAACAAAUCAACAACUGGGGGGAUGCGUCGCAAGACGUGUUUUCCAGAACACAUUCUAACCUGUGAAUCGCCGGCAAUUGAGUGCGAGCAACCGCACUUACUGUCGGUUGUGCGAGAAAUCGCACAAACAAUAUCAUAAACGUCGUCUACACAAUGUCUGAAUACACACAAAACACAAAUACAACUUUUAGCAAUGGAUCUCUUGGCUUCGGCUCGAUGAAGAAC